UACGUAGGGUGCAAGCGUUGUCCGGAAUUAUUGGGCGUAAAGAGCUCGUAGGCGGUCUGUCGCGUCUGCUGUGAAAACUCAGGGCUUAACCCUGAGCUUGCAGUGGGUACGGGCAGACUAGAGUGCGGUAGGGGAGACUGGAAUUCCUGGUGUAGCGGUGAAAUGCGCAGAUAUCAGGAGGAACACCGGUGGCGAAGGCGGAUCUCUGGGCCUUACCUGACGCUCAGGUGCGAAAGCUAGGGGAGCGAACAGG
Molecule: ribosomal RNA, 253 nt
Filed under: uncultured bacterium
Lineage: Bacteria
Description: partial 16S ribosomal RNA
Rfam family: Bacterial small subunit ribosomal RNA
Source: RNAcentral